RNAcentral lists this ribosomal RNA (253 nucleotides) under uncultured bacterium. RNAcentral describes it as "partial 16S ribosomal RNA". It matches the Rfam family "Bacterial small subunit ribosomal RNA", at positions 524 to 776 of the family's 1533-position model. The record is from RNAcentral.
UACGGAAGGUGCGAGCGUUAAUCGGAAUUACUGGGCGUAAAGCGCACGUAGGUGGCUUGGUAAGUCGGAUGUGAAAGCCCCGGGCUCAACCUGGGAACGGCAUUCGAUACUGCUGAGCUAGAGUACGAAAGAGGGGGGUGGAAUUCCAGGUGUAGCGGUGAAAUGCGUAGAGAUCUGGAGGAACACCGGUGGCGAAGGCGGCCCCCUGGUUCGAUACUGACGCUGAGGUGCGAAAGCGUGGGGAGCAAACAGG